AUUGAACGCUGGUGGCAUGCUUUACACAUGCAAGUCGAACGGUAACAGGUUAAGCUGACGAGUGGCGAACGGGUGAGUAAUGCAUCGGAACGUGCCCGGUCGUGGGGGAUAACGCAGCGAAAGCUGCGCUAAUACCGCAUACGAUCUGAGGAUGAAAGCGGGGGACCGUAAGGCCUCGCGCGAUCGGAGCGGCCGAUGUCAGAUUAGGUAGUUGGUGGGGUAAAGGCUCACCAAGCCAACGAUCUGUAGCUGGUCUGAGAGGACGACCAGCCACACUGGGACUGAGACACGGCCCAGACUCCUACGGGAGGCAGCAGUGGGGAAUUUUGGGCAAUGGGCGAAAGCCUGAUCCAGCAAUGCCGCGUGCAGGAAGAAGGCCUUCGGGUUGUAAACUGCUUUUGUACGGAGCGAAAAGGUCUCCUCUAAUACAGGGGGCUCAUGACGGUACCGUAAGAAUAAGCACCGGCUAACUACGUGCCAGCAGCCGCGGUAA
This 493-nucleotide ribosomal RNA is filed under the name uncultured bacterium. RNAcentral describes it as "partial 16S ribosomal RNA". It matches the Rfam family "Bacterial small subunit ribosomal RNA", at positions 29 to 523 of the family's 1533-position model. The record is from RNAcentral.